Molecule: non-coding RNA, 759 nt
Organism: Schizosaccharomyces pombe (fission yeast)
Lineage: Eukaryota; Fungi; Ascomycota; Schizosaccharomycetes; Schizosaccharomycetales; Schizosaccharomycetaceae
Source: the annotation of a GenBank genome assembly
UUUUAUACACAUGGCAAAAUUGGAAUGCAGUCCUCAAAUCUUUUUAAUGAGACUGAUUAAACUUCCAUUGUGCUAAUCGUGGGACGCUACAACCUACGUUGCGAAUAAUACAGUAUCCGGAUUUCUCAUUUUUAAUCGUUUUGGCUAGAACAUUGGCUAUACCAGAAGGUUUGCCUGCAUUCAAAUUGAAAUUUCCGGUCGUGACGAAUCCUAUAAUAGCCGUCUCGUUUGGACACUUUGGGUAAAGCAAAUUUUCAGCAGUGAGAUUUUCUUUAUAAAUGAUGGUCUUCCAUUUACUAAGUUCAUCGUCACUAAGACAAUAAAUUCGAGCCCGAUCUUGCAGGCUACCUCUUUGCACCAACUGUACUUGAACACGUACUAGCUGCAGAGUUUUAUCUUCAUCUCGUGAAGCCUUAACCAUCUCGUUUAGAUAAACCCAAUCACAACAAAACGGGUUACCUAUUUCUGAAAAAUUAUCUCCGAAUUUUUGAUAAUUUACGCGUUUGGCAGGUGGACGUCUUUUCCAGCUAUCUUCAUUUCGUUUUUUUCUUUCCUCUUCGCAAAGUUGCCCACUAAUCGUAUCUGGAUAAUCAAUCGGAAAGAAAGGCAUUCUUUUUUCAAACGCAAUUUGGUGCAAAUUUUCUAAUCCGCCAAAACGUAUUCCUUUUUGAUACAUCAUCUUCCUCCAUACAAACUUGGCAUAAUCCCAAGGCAAAAUAACAGUGAGUCCGUUCCAUUCUUUUCUAUACGUAAUAUACA